CUGGAAACCUAGGGUGAUCGUUAGUUAGAUUCACUACACCUGUAACCUGCCCUCACCGCUCAAGCUUCUUUAAUUGUCGCUGCAGAAGGUUUGCAUGUCCUCCAAGCUUCCCUGUAGCCUAAAGAAUAAAGGUGUUUGCGUAAGUUGGUCUUUUAGUAAUCCGGAGUCAGCUGUGUCCAUUUCAAGCUUGAGCAGGUUACUAAGACCACUGACCUUCCAGCUGGGCAUGUCCAGCGAGUGUUCCCUCGGGGACCUUCAGCCACGAGAGGACCCAACCGCGCCCCCUGCCCCCGCAUGCUAACGCCACCAUUUUCUGCAGGUGCCUCCAGUGAAGCCGCCUUGGCUUGACUGCGCCUGUGCAGAAGGACGAUUGCCUUACCCAUUUCUCUCCAGUCCCCUUCCGUGUGCUCCCCCAGCCUCAGCUUGGUCGCAUCAGAAUCCUGAGCCGCUCCGCUUCCCUUUCUGGAGGCAGAUUUGGGAUAUUCUCCCCUCUGCUGGCAUGGCUACCUCAUGAAUACACAAACCUCGGAGUCUCAUUCUUCUGCCAGUUACCUGUCCAGCAAACAAACCAGGGGCGGAGAUAAGAUGGUGAAGGACAUGAGCUUACCUCCUCUCAUAAAAAUGCCAGAAUCACAGUGAACUGCUGAACAACCACUGGCAAACGCUGGGACCUGCCAAAGAAAGAUGCCCUACAUCCAAAGGCCAAGUGACCACAAAGCGAUGGCAGGAGGGGCGCAAGCACAAUAAAAAUGUUUUCUCGUGUUUCUCCCUUUGCUCUCAGUAUAAUGUUUCUUUUAGAGCAAAAAAGGGGUUUUUGUACUGUUAACCAAU
Long non-coding RNA from Bubalus bubalis (water buffalo), 831 nucleotides. RefSeq lists it as uncharacterized. The record is from RefSeq and is a predicted model, not a curated record. NCBI's taxonomy places the organism in Eukaryota, Metazoa, Chordata, Mammalia, Artiodactyla, Bovidae. The transcript has 2 exons.